AAGAGGAAGAGGAGACCAUCAAUCUUGGGUUGCUCGAGACCAAAAUCACGCGUCCUCUCCUCCAAACCCGCAGCUGCUGCCUCCCACUCCCAGAGUAACGACAACCUAACGCAGCAAGAUGCUUAUUGUCUGAUGCUCGACAUAUGCACAAGAUAGACAUUGCAUUUCAGAUAUUGAGAUGUGCGUUAAGUGCUUGGGUCUGGGUGUCACAGGACCAAAAUGGCAGUAAUUCUUGUCCAGUAUCAUUGCUUCUCCGUGAUCACUAUUUGAGAAUAGAGUAAUGCUGAUAAUAACAGUUACUCACUUGCUUUUGGAUCUUUCUACCACCCUUCUUUUGAUAUUAGGGACUAUUUCUUUUAGAGGUUUUAAUGAUUAUAAAACUAUAAAUGGAUAGGUAAAGUACAAAGCUUUUAAUUCAGCUAUUGAUAGAUUGACCUGCUUUCAUCUUUCAGUGCCUUGAGCAGCUAAUUAUUCGAUUUUGGGUUCUGCUCUGGACUGCAGGAUACAAUCACCAUGGUUGAGAGCAUCCCUUUUCUGAAGCAAAUGCUACUGAAAUCAGUGUCCAGAUUAAUCUUGAGACAAGCAUGGUUGCUGAGUUACUUCGCUUGGACAUCUUCAAAUAUGAUGCGAAGAUGCAUCCACCCAUCACCAUUUCGCCUUUGUGAUGUACAAUUUUCAUAUUUUAUUUUGCAUCCCCUGAUGUUCAUUUCUUUGGUGCCUGGACUGCAGCAUGUUCAGUUUACUGUCACCGUGACUAAGCUUAGCUUAGCUUUGAUGGUUUUCUUCCUGUAAAACUUGGCAUGAGUCAGGGAAUGCAUAUGGUGUUCAAUACAGGUACCUAGAUUCGAGUUUUGUGCCGCUGAUGCACCAGGGUGAUUGGCUGCAUCUGUUCUUGCUUCAUAGUAGUGAUGACCACAAGUAAUGCUAAAUAAUUCAUAAAGGGAAUGCCACCAGUCUACGAAACCCCCUUAGGUGUAUUCAUCUCAUCUGCCAUAUCUGGUACGGCACCCAGUAUAAGAACUAAUCAUGCACAUGGACUCCGCCUGUUCUUUUCUCAGCUAUCUCCAAAUUGAGUUGACGAAGGUUGUUUGAACUUCCAAGUUCUUACUGUUCUUCUUUGGUCUUAUUACCCUGGGGAUCAUGAAAGGAGAGCACAACUGAACACCUGCUAUAUUGGUUCACUACUUUAUGCUUUGGAUAGAGUCACUAUGGUUGAGAGCAUGUCUUUUCUGAAGCCAAUGCUACUGAAAUUAGUGUCCAGAUUAAUCUUGAGACAAAGAAGUUUGCUGAGUUACUUCGCUUGGACAUCAUCAAAUUUGGUGCAAGGAUGCAUCCACCCAUCACCAUUUCGGCUUUCUGACAUACAAUUUUCAUAUUUUAUUUUGCAUCGCCUGAUAUUCAUUUCUUUGGUGGCAGCAUGUUCGGUUUACUGUCACCAUGACUAAGCUUAGCUUAGCUAUGAUGGUGGUAAUUCCUGUAAAACUUGCUAUGAGUCAGGGAAUGCAUAUGGUGUUCAAUGCAGGUACCUUAGAUUCGAGUUUUCUGCCGCUGAUGCACCAGGGUGAUUGGCUGCAUCUGUUCUUGCUUCAUAGUGUGAUGACCACAAGUAAUGCUAAAUAAUUCAUAAAGGGAAUGACACCAUUUUUUUUUUUUGCCUGAUUUCAUUUGUCUCUUGAUUUUUCUCCUUAGGUAAACUAGAUAAAAAAAUGUUUCUGUUUUUUUGCCUGAUCUCAUUUUUCUCUUGAUUUUUCUCUUUCCUGUUUGUCAGCUACUGAAUGUGUGGCUAUACCCCUUCCAUGUAGUUACACUCUCGAUUCCAUGAGCUGCUACAUGUGAACUGUUAUAUUUAUUUGUCUUUUUGCUCUAAAUAAGCUCCUAGAUGAAAGUAGUAUGCUUCUGUUUGUACAGUUUGGGGUAUGUAUUUGAUGGAUAAUGUUGCAGGUUUAGUGGCCGUACUUUUAUUAUUUCAAUAACAUUCCUUUUAUUCUCAGACCCAUUUCACUCAUGAACUAUCACAUUGGUUCAUCUUUAUUUCUUGAUUAUCUUGACAGAUUUGUGUUUUUAUUAAUGUUAGCAUUCCCUAAAUUUCUAAGCAUUGCUUUGCCAGUAGUGCUGAACUUUUAUGUAUAGCAAAUUUUUAUACUUGUUGUUUGCGGCAUUAGUAUUUCAGUAAGCUCAUACCUUCUGUCUCCACCUUAUUUGCAGGUGUAUUCACCUCAUCUGCCAUAUCCGGUAUGGCACCCAGUAUAUGGACUAAUCAUGCGCAUGGAUUCCGCCUGUUUUUUUGUCAGCUAUCACCAAAUUGAGUUGACGAAGGUUGUUUCAACUUCCAAGUUAUUACUGUUCUUCUGUGGCCUUAUUGUCCUGGGGAUCAUGAAAGGUGCUGGAUACAACAAUGUCAGUGGGGUGGCUUUAUCAAACAAGUAUCAUGGUCUCUGGUGGAACUAUCAAGCAUGGGCGCCGAGAGUUAACACCUCCUCCACACAGGUUGAGCGCAUCAAAGUUCCUCUAAUGCGCGCUGGGAGUUGAAUCUCCGACCGCACGUGUCAUGCACAUCAAAGUUCUCGUGCACGGGUGGAGUUACUACCUCCGCCGCACGAGUCGAGUGUAUCAAAGUCCUUCUAGUGCGCGUUGGGAGUUAACACCUCCGCACAAGUCGGGCACAACUUCUCCUCGCUUUGGUUGGUAAGCAAAACAUCCCCCGCGCGAGUUGAGCUCAAAGUCCUCCUCGUACGUGUCGGGAAACAUUCCCCUGCACGAGACGAGCACACUAACUCAAAAUUUCUCCCUUAGAGCAGCACCAAUAGUUCAUGUAAAACACUCUCCCCUAAAUAUGGUUUACAUGGUGUCCAUAUAA
Triticum dicoccoides is the source of this 2857-nucleotide RNA transcript. RefSeq lists it as uncharacterized. Lineage: Eukaryota; Viridiplantae; Streptophyta; Magnoliopsida; Poales; Poaceae. The transcript has 7 exons. The record is from RefSeq and is a predicted model, not a curated record.